This 468-nucleotide ribosomal RNA is filed under the name uncultured bacterium. Its description in RNAcentral is "partial 16S ribosomal RNA". It matches the Rfam family "Bacterial small subunit ribosomal RNA", at positions 28 to 507 of the family's 1533-position model. The record is from RNAcentral.
GACGAACGCUGGCGGCGUGCUUAACACAUGCAAGUCGAACGGAAAGGCCCUGCUUUUGUGGGGUGCUCGAGUGGCGAACGGGUGAGUAACACGUGAGUAACCUGCCCUUGUCUUUGGGUUAACUUCAGGCAACUGGGGCUAAUACCGGAUAGGAGCUCCUGCUGCAUGGUGGGGGUUGGAAGGUUUCGGCGGUUGGGGAUGGACUCGCGGCUUAUCCGCUUGUUGGUGGGGUAGUGGCUUACCAAGGCUUUGACGGGUAGCCGGCCUGAUAGGGUAGCCGGCCACAUUGGACUUGGGAUGCGACCCAGCCCCGUCUGGGAGGCAGCAGUGGAGAAGAUUGCACUAUAGACGGAAGCCAAACGCAGCAACGCCGCGUGCGGGAUGACGGCCUUCGGGUUGUAAACCGCUUUCGCCUGUGACGAGGCGUUAGUGACGGUAAUGGGUAAAGAAGCACCGGCUAACUACGUG